AGUGAACGCUGGCGGUAGGCCUAACACAUGCAAGUCGAACGGCAGCACAGUAAGAGCUUGCUCUUACGGGUGGCGAGUGGCGGACGGGUGAGGAAUACAUCGGAAUCUACUUUUUCGUGGGGGAUAACGUAGGGAAACUUCCGCUAAUACCGCAUACGACCUACGGGUGAAAGCAGGGGAUCUUCGGACCUUGCGCGAGUGAAUGAGCCGAUGUCGGAUUAGCUAGUUGGCGGGGUAAAGGCCCACCAAGGCGACGAUCCGUAGCUGGUCUGAGAGGAUGAUCAGACACACUGGCACUGAGACACGGCCGAGACUCCUACGGGAGGCAGCAGUGGGGAAUAUUGGGCGAUGGGCGAAAGGCUGAUCCAGCCAUACCGCGUGGGUGAAGAAGGACUUCGGGUUGGAAAGCCAUUUUGUUGGGAAAGAAAAGCAGCAGGUUAAUACCCCGCUGUUCUGACGGUACCCAAAGAAUAAGCACCGGCUAACUUCGUG
RNAcentral lists this ribosomal RNA (492 nucleotides) under uncultured bacterium. RNAcentral describes it as "partial 16S ribosomal RNA". It matches the Rfam family "Bacterial small subunit ribosomal RNA", at positions 29 to 507 of the family's 1533-position model. The record is from RNAcentral.